RNAcentral lists this ribosomal RNA (1478 nucleotides) under metagenome. RNAcentral describes it as "bacterial SSU rRNA". It matches the Rfam family "Bacterial small subunit ribosomal RNA". The record is from RNAcentral.
AGAGUUUGAUCCUGGCUCAGGACGAACGCUGGCGGCGUGCUUAACACAUGCAAGUCGAACGAGAAUCUGUGGAAAGAGGAUUCGUCCAAUUGAAGCAGAGGACAGUGGCGGACGGGUGAGUAACGCGUGAGGAACCUGCCUUUCAGAGGGGGACAACAGUUGGAAACGACUGCUAAUACCGCAUAACAUAUAGAUGUCGCAUGGCAUUUAUAUCAAAGAUUUAUCGCUGAAAGAUGGCCUCGCGUCUGAUUAGCUAGUUGGUGAGGUAACGGCCCAUCAAGGCGACGAUCAGUAGCCGGACUGAGAGGUUGAACGGCCACAUUGGGACUGAGAUACGGCCCAGACUCCUACGGGAGGCAGCAGUGGGGAAUAUUGGGCAAUGGGCGCAAGCCUGACCCAGCAACGCCGCGUGAAGGAAGAAGGCUUUCGGGUCGUAAACUUCUUUUGUCAGGGACGAGUAGAAGACGGUACCUGACGAAUAAGCCACGGCUAACUACGUGCCAGCAGCCGCGGUAAUACGUAGGUGGCAAGCGUUGUCCGGAUUUACUGGGUGUAAAGGGCGUGUAGCCGGGAGGGCAAGUCAGAUGUGAAAUCCACGGGCUCAACUCGUGAACUGCAUUUGAAACUACUCUUCUUGAGUAUCGGAGAGGCAAUCGGAAUUCCUAGUGUAGCGGUGAAAUGCUUAGAUAUCACGAAGAACUCCGAUUGCGAAGGCAGCUCACUGGAGCGCAACUGACGCUGAAGCUCGAAAGUGCGGGUAUCGAACAGGAUUAGAUACCCUGGUAGUCCGCACGGUAAACGAUGGAUGCCCGCUGUUGGUCUGAAUAGGUCAGCGGCCAAGCGAAAGCAUUAAGCAUCCCACCUGGGGAGUACGCCGGCAACGAUGAAACUCAAAGGAAUUGACGGGGGCCCGCACAAGCGGAGGAACAUGUGGUUUAAUUCGAUGAUACGCGAGGAACCUUACCCGGGCUUGAAUUGCAGAGGAAGGAUUUGGAGACAAUGACGCCCUUCGGGGCCUCUGUGAAGGUGCUGCAUGGUUGUCGUCAGCUCGUGCCGUGAGGUGUCGGCUUAAGUGCCAUAACGAGCGCAACCCCUCUCCUUAGUUGCCAUCAGGUUAAGCUGGGCACUCUGGGGACACUGCCACCGUAAGGUGUGAGGAAGGUGGGGAUGACGUCAAAUCAGCACGGCCCUUACGUCCGGGGCUACACACGUGUUACAAUGGCAGGUACAGAGAGACGGUUGUACGUAAGUACGAUCAAAUCCUUAAAGCCUGUCUCAGUUCGGACUGGGGUCUGCAACCCGACCCCACGAAGCUGGAUUCGCUAGUAAUCGCGCGUCAGCCAUGGCGCGGUGAAUACGUUCCCGGGCCUUGUACACACCGCCCGUCAAGCCAUGAAAGCCGGGGGCGCCUAAAGUCCGUGACCGUAAGGAGCGGCCUAGGGCGAAACUGGUAAUUGGGGCUAAGUCGUAACAAGGUA